GCGGAAGUGGCGAAGCUGGUUGAAACGCGCUAGACUCAAAAUCUAGUACAGUUAAUGACACAUCGUGGGUUCGAUUCCCACCUUCCGUACCA
This 92-nucleotide transfer RNA is filed under the name compost metagenome. Its description in RNAcentral is "tRNA-Leu". It matches the Rfam family "tRNA". From Rfam's summary of the family: Transfer RNA (tRNA) molecules are approximately 80 nucleotides in length. The record is from RNAcentral.